RNAcentral lists this ribosomal RNA (438 nucleotides) under uncultured bacterium. Its description in RNAcentral is "bacterial SSU rRNA". It matches the Rfam family "Bacterial small subunit ribosomal RNA", at positions 958 to 1397 of the family's 1533-position model. The record is from RNAcentral.
AACGCGAAGAACCUUACCUACUCUUGACAUCCAGAGAAUCCUGUAGAGAUACGGGAGUGCCGAAAGGAAUUCUGAGACAGGUGCUGCAUGGCUGUCGUCAGCUCGUGUUGUGAGAUGUUUGGUUAAGUCCCGUAACGAGCGCAACCCUUAUCCUUAGUUACCAUCAUUUAGUUGGGGACUCUAAGGAGACUGCCGGUGAUGAACCGGAGGAAGGCGGGGACGACGUCAAGUCAUCAUGGCCUUUAUGAGUAGGGCUACACACGUGCUACAAUGGGCAGUACAGAGGGUAGCGAAGCCGCGAGGUGAAGCCAAUCCCGAAAAGCUGUUCGUAGUCCGGAUCGGAGUCUGCAACUCGACUCCGUGAAGUCGGAAUCGCUAGUAAUCGCGAAUCAGAAUGUCGCGGUGAAUACGUUCCCGGGCCUUGUACACACCGGCUAC